This 453-nucleotide ribosomal RNA is filed under the name uncultured bacterium. RNAcentral's name for it is "bacterial SSU rRNA". It matches the Rfam family "Bacterial small subunit ribosomal RNA", at positions 28 to 490 of the family's 1533-position model. The record is from RNAcentral.
GAUGAACGCUGGCGGCGUGCUUAACACAUGCAAGUCGAACGGGAUCCAUCAAGCUUGCUUGGUGGUGAGAGUGGCGAACGGGUGAGUAAUGCGUGACCGACCUGCCCCAUGCUCCGGAAUAGCUCCUGGAAACGGGUGGUAAUGCCGGAUGUUCCACAUGAUCGCAUGUGAUUGUGGGAAAGAUUCUAUCGGCGUGGGAUGGGGUCGCGUCCUAUCAGCUUGUUGGUGAGGUAACGGCUCACCAAGGCUUCGACGGGUAGCCGGCCCGAGAGGGCGACCGGCCACAUUGGGACUGAGAUACGGCCCAGACUCCUACGGGAGGCAGCAGUGGGGAAUAUUGCACAAUGGGCGCAAGCCUGAUGCAGCGACGCCGCGUGAGGGAUGGAGGCCUUCGGGUUGUAAACCUCUUUUGUUUGGGAGCAAGCCUUCGGGUGAGUGUACCUUUCGAAUAAG